Molecule: long non-coding RNA, 1722 nt
Organism: Meriones unguiculatus (Mongolian gerbil)
Lineage: Eukaryota; Metazoa; Chordata; Mammalia; Rodentia; Muridae
Exons: 4
Source: RefSeq, a predicted model, not a curated record
CCUUUUCCCCGCCUCCAAGACCGUGGCUCUCAGGAGGAGUCAUCUAGCUGCUGCCAGGAAGUGAAUGAGCAAAUUGGCUUUGCAAUUCUGGUCUUAACUAUGUAGCCUUGGCUACCCUGGAGCUAACUAUUUAGACAAGACUGGCUUUGAACUCAAAGAUGUCUGCCCGUCUGCCCGCUUCUGCUUCCCAAGUGCUGAGAUUUAAAGGACCCUGCUUCCUCAAGCUCCAGAAGACUUCAGGAUCAACCACCUUGUCUCCGGUUCCAGAGAAAGGAGGCUUCCCUACAGUAGCUGUGUUCAACCCUACUGGAUUAGACUCUGACCUUGGCCUACAAGCUCCUUAAUGUGACUCAACUGGUCCGUUUUAAAGCUUGCUGGUUGUGUGUACCACCUGGGACCAACUCAGAACUACUGCUGACAACUUCUCUGGUGACGCUGUCAAGUAAACUCACUUAACCAUUUACUAACUGCCCUGACUCUGAUGUUGCCACAACCCCCUACCUUUCUCAUAUCACCCUCUUUGGCGUGGCAGGCUGUUUCAAGGUAUCUGGGACACACUCCGUAGGAACGCUAAGUUCCUUAGUGUGUCAUAAAACUAUAAUUCUUGAUAUCUCAUCUCAACCCCAAUGCCCUACUGCUAAAAAUACCUUGAUUCUUUGUGGCACUCAAGUUUACCAUAGUUUUCCUGCUUAUUGGUCAGGAGUUUGCAUGCUGGUUCUCCUCUUCCAUGAGCUGGGAGAUAAAUGAAAAGGAGCCCCUACCAAUCCCGGUCGUGGACUCAAUAGCUGCCCAGACUCAAAUCUUGCCCCUCUUGGCUGUUGCAGGAAUCACGGCAGCUGUCUGGACAGGGACAGCAGGACUAGCCACCUCACUAACUUUGUAUUAUCAGCUUUCUUCCCAGUUCAUCCAGGACCUCCAGCAAGUGGCUCAGACAAUACUAACUCUAAGGACAGAACGACUCACUGGCAGCAGUAGUACUUCAAAAUCAACGUGGAUUGGAUCUCCUCACUGCUAAAGAAGAUCUUCCUCCAGGAGGAAUGCUGUUUUUAUGUCAACCAGUCGGGUAUAGUAAAAGACAAAAUCCAAUAACUCCAGACAUAUCUACAAAAGUGAAGGAAACCGCUUGAGGCCUCUAGCUCUUGGGCCUUUGAGAACCCCAUGUGGAAAUGGAUUUUGCCCUUCCUCACAUCUCUUCUCCUCGUCUUUCUGCUUUUGCUUUUUGCAACCUGCUUAUUAACUUCUCUAUAUUCUUCCAAUAACAAAAGCAAAAAUUCUCUAACCAAACCAUUAAUCAGUUACUCUUACAGGAUUAUCAACCUCUACACACAGAACCAGAUGACAAUGACCUUCCAAUUGACCCUGAUGUUGGGUACCAGCUAUACCCUGAGAAUGACAAUGCCCCUAAUCAGCAGGAUGUAACUUGAAGAGCAAAGGUCGCCCCUAUGCUCGCCCCACCAUCACCUCCUUCCUAGCUCCUCAGUUUUUUUUAAUAAAACAAAAAGGGAGGAAUGUUGGGAUCUGUAAGCAGGCAUUUUUAUGGCUAGCCCCAAGGGACCUGACAAAGAGGAUAUCAGGCAUCUGUGAGGCCACCUGCAGACCACCUGAAAUUAUCUGUGCAUACUCUGGGUCACCUUAUAAGAGAACCUGCAUCCCCCCUUUCUUGCCCUACCCAGAGAUGGUCUCUGUGACCUCUUCCCUUAAUAAACCUCCCAUGUGGAACCA